AUAAAAGUGGUGAUUCUUCUGUUGCAACUCAGCGUCAAUUCCGUCAACACUUCAACGUGGGUCAAGAGGACAUGUUCUGUCUUGUAACACAAUAUUGUUAUGAGUGAAAAAAUUCAGAGAAACAGAUUCAGCUCUCAAACGUCAACAGGUUGUCCAAGAUCAGUCAGGACACCAGACAACAUUGAGCAUGUCAGACAAGCUGUGGAGAUUAGUCCGAACCGGCCAGCUUGUAAACACACUUCUGCUAUGCGUCUUUCUGAUUGCAGCAUACAACGAAUACUUCAUUAUGAUUUACCUCGUAGUUGCUGAACAAUGGCC
This 318-nucleotide long non-coding RNA is filed under the name Androctonus crassicauda. Lineage: Eukaryota; Metazoa; Arthropoda; Arachnida; Scorpiones; Buthidae. The record is from RNAcentral.